GUACAUAGACCUUCAUUCUUAUUUAAAAGUGAUCAUUUUGCACAUUUUAUAAAUAAUAUUUUAUUUAUUAUAUUUGUCAAGAUCUCUUGGACUACUUUUUCCCACUUCUCUCUGAUUAAACAAUGCUUUUGAUACUGUGCUUACAAGGCUUCUCUAUAUAAGUGACUCUUUGCCAGUGACAUAACAAAGCGUUGUGAAUGCAUUGUGAAUUUGCUGUCGGGUCCAGUAUAUAUAAAAUAUGGGUGGAUGUUAAUGUCUCAAUGACUGUGCCACAACAACCAUUAAAGUGUGGUCACAUUUACCAGUGAGAGCAAAAUCCUGGCAUUUCAAAAUGAAUCCACGUCAUUGAGAAUGUCGCGUGAGGGCAAAAUAUUUAGGGAGAAGUGGAUUCGCGGCAUUGACCGACAGAAAGCUGCUUGGUUUGAAAGUGACUUCUUUGUGGGUUCUGCUUUGAGUCACUGAGGAAAGCCUGUUUCAUAUAGUAAGCACAUGUUGUCUUUAGUAAGAAUAAUUUGCAUUGCUUUGUGGAAAAAAAAAAAGACGCUGAACAACUUUAAAUAAAAUGGCCAACAGCAGGCACUCAUCACAGUUUGCCUUCGCUCAAAACAUUUGUAUAUUAGAGAAAUACAAUGCUGCUCAAUCGAAUUUAGUUAGCAAAUUUAGUGAUUACAAUGCAAAUAAUUAAAAAAAACACAAGAACCACAAUAACAGAGAACGUUUAUUGUCAAUUUGUUGUCAAAUGAAUUGUCAAAGAUGUGCAGAAACGUUUUAAAAACAUGGUGGAAGUGAAAAAUUCAGCAACCAGAGAAGGACCAACUCGUAAAUUAAAAAGGACCAUGUGAAUUAUCAUUAAAAUAUACGCUGACGAAUCUCCGGAGUUACCGACAGGAAGUUACCCGCAGCAACGGAAGAUGCAUUGACUCACACAGCCAUCACCUCAGCUCUGCUUGGACAGUCUUUCACUCAAGAUGAAGAUGUGCCAGUGACAACCCAGUAACAAACAACACAAAGUGAAGGCAUAUUGCAUCACACAACGAUCACCUCAGCUCCGCUUGGACAGUCUUGGCCCUAAAUUUAUUUCUCUGACUAUUGGGCACGGACCCCACUUUGAGAACCCCUGUUUAGUGGAUAGCUUGGUAAGAUUCUCCUCUCUGGCCAUUAAUAAGCCCGAACCAAACAGCACAAAGUGAAGGUAAAACUCAUCCUUACAAAACUAGUCAUAACUCAAAGUUAGUUAACUAGCAUAUAGUGGCAACUGAGAAUUUUUACAACAAACAAAAUAUUCCUAUUGCUCCCUAACAUUACUAACUUCUUUUUUUCUUUUCUUAAUCAAGACCAUUCGAGCAACAUCCAGGUGAUGCCUGUAAUAAGUGGCUCGGACACUGAGACACAAGAAGACCCUCCAAGCAAGAUUACCAUAGACCGUAUACUGGAAAAACAGUAUGAAGUAUUGACACUGGAAAAAGCAAAACUACAAUUAGAAAUACAGAAACUGGAAUUAGAGAAAACUAAGCUGAAGUUGGAGCUAAAGAACCUUGAACUUUAGAUCUCAUCGACCACCAUCCAAGAAUUAAUUAAUCAUUUAAUUUAAUCAAUCAUUUCUAAUUUUCCUGUUCACUUUACUAUCCAUACUAUACCAAUGUUUACUAUCCAAAUUAAUUUACUUAAAUAUGUAGUUUAUAUUUGAAGAAUUAUAUACUAUAUUUUCAGUUUUUACUAAUCUACUGCAUCACAUUUUCUUAAAUAAUGUUUUGAUAAAUAAAUCAUAAUUUGCAUCAAGAA
Ctenopharyngodon idella (grass carp) is the source of this 1782-nucleotide long non-coding RNA. RefSeq lists it as uncharacterized. The transcript is spliced from 4 exons. NCBI's taxonomy places the organism in Eukaryota, Metazoa, Chordata, Actinopteri, Cypriniformes, Xenocyprididae. The record is from RefSeq and is a predicted model, not a curated record.